This is a transfer RNA of Cavia porcellus (domestic guinea pig), 64 nucleotides long. It matches the Rfam family "tRNA". From Rfam's summary of the family: Transfer RNA (tRNA) molecules are approximately 80 nucleotides in length. Their secondary structure includes four short double-helical elements and three loops (D, anti-codon, and T loops). The record is from Rfam. Lineage: Eukaryota; Metazoa; Chordata; Mammalia; Rodentia; Caviidae.
GGGGAUUUAGCUCAGCGGCAUAAGCCCCUGCCUUGCAAGCAGGCAGUCGAGGGUUCAAUCCCUG